GACGAACGCUGGCGGCGUGCUUAACACAUGCAAGUCGAACGGUGAUGGGUGGAGCUUGCUCUGCUUUGAUCAGUGGCGAACGGGUGAGUAACACGUGAGUAACCUGCCCCAGACUCUGGAAUAACCCCGGGAAACCGGUGCUAAUACCGGAUAUGACACAGAAUCGCAUGGUUUCUGUGUGGAAAGUUUUUCGGUUUGGGAUGGACUCGCGGCCUAUCAGCUUGUUGGUGAGGUAAUGGCUCACCAAGGCGACGACGGGUAGCCGGCCUGAGAGGGCGACCGGCCACACUGGGACUGAGACACGGCCCAGACUCCUACGGGAGGCAGCAGUGGGGAAUAUUGCACAAUGGGCGCAAGCCUGAUGCAGCGACGCCGCGUGAGGGAUGAAGGCCUUCGGGUUGUAAACCUCUUUCAGCUCUGAAGAAGCGAAAGUGACGGUAGGAGCAGAAGAAGCACCGGCUAACUACGUGCCAGCCGCCGCCGUAA
RNAcentral lists this ribosomal RNA (486 nucleotides) under uncultured bacterium. RNAcentral's name for it is "partial 16S ribosomal RNA". It matches the Rfam family "Bacterial small subunit ribosomal RNA", at positions 28 to 523 of the family's 1533-position model. The record is from RNAcentral.